Non-coding RNA from Perca flavescens (yellow perch), 475 nucleotides. NCBI's taxonomy places the organism in Eukaryota, Metazoa, Chordata, Actinopteri, Perciformes, Percidae. The record is from the annotation of a RefSeq genome assembly.
CUGGGAGUUCAACACUGCAGGACUCAGAUCUGUCAGUCAACACAGCAGAAAGCACAACCACCAUGACUCUCAUCACCAUCCUCAUCUGGACGCUGGCCUGCUGCUGUUUUACAGGAUGCAGCGGUCAGGUGACUGUGACUCAGCCUCCAGUAGUGACAUUUACUCCAGGAUCCACUGUCACUCUCAGCUGUAAAACCAACAGACCGGUUUAUCAAUAUAGUGAUGGAGAUUGGGCUAUGUCCUGGUAUCAACAGAAAUCUGGACAGACGCCAAAGCUCCUAAUAAAAUAUGCGCACACCCUUGAAUCAGGAACACCAGCUCGGUUUAGUGGCAGUGGAAGCAGCUCUGACUUCACUUUGACCAUCAGUGGAGUUAAAGCUGAAGAUGCAGCAGUUUAUUACUGUCAGAGUUACCAUGAUGACCCAGUGUUCACACAGUGAUUUGUCGUCUUACAAAAACCUCCCUCAGUCAGACU